This 301-nucleotide ribosomal RNA is filed under the name uncultured bacterium. Its description in RNAcentral is "partial 16S ribosomal RNA". It matches the Rfam family "Bacterial small subunit ribosomal RNA", at positions 509 to 807 of the family's 1533-position model. The record is from RNAcentral.
CAGCAGCCACGGUAAUACGGAGGGGGCUAGCGUUGUUCGGAAUUACUGGGCGUAAAGCGCGUGUAGGCGGGUCCUUAAGUCAGGGGUGAAAUGCCAAGGCUCAACCUUGGAACUGCCUUUGAUACUGGGGAUCUUGAGUCCGGGAGAGGUGAGUGGAACUGCGAGUGUAGAGGUGAAAUUCGUAGAUAUUCGCAAGAACACCAGUGGCGAAGGCGGCUCACUGGCCCGGAACUGACGCUGAGACGCGAAAGCGUGGGGAGCAAACAGGAUUAGAUACCCGCGUAGUCCCUGUCUCUUAUAC